RNAcentral lists this transfer RNA (74 nucleotides) under Candidatus Liptonbacteria bacterium RIFOXYB1_FULL_36_10. Its description in RNAcentral is "tRNA-Trp". It matches the Rfam family "tRNA". Rfam says of the family: Transfer RNA (tRNA) molecules are approximately 80 nucleotides in length. Their secondary structure includes four short double-helical elements and three loops (D, anti-codon, and T loops). Further hydrogen bonds mediate the characteristic L-shaped molecular structure. tRNAs have two regions of fundamental functional importance: the anti-codon, which is responsible for specific mRNA codon recognition, and the 3' end, to which the tRNAs corresponding amino acid is attached (by aminoacyl-tRNA synthetases). tRNAs cope with the degeneracy of the genetic code in two manners: having more than one tRNA (with a specific anti-codon) for a particular amino acid; and 'wobble' base-pairing, i.e. permitting non-standard base-pairing at the 3rd anti-codon position. RNAcentral also lists the same sequence under 2 other names. The record is from RNAcentral. Lineage: Bacteria; Candidatus Liptoniibacteriota.
GGGUCUAUAGUUCAAUGGCAGAAUGGCGGUCUCCAAAACCGCUGAUCUAGGUUCGAAUCCUAGUAGGCCCGCAA